Long non-coding RNA from Hordeum vulgare subsp. vulgare (domesticated barley), 2585 nucleotides. RefSeq lists it as uncharacterized. NCBI's taxonomy places the organism in Eukaryota, Viridiplantae, Streptophyta, Magnoliopsida, Poales, Poaceae. The transcript is spliced from 3 exons. The record is from RefSeq and is a predicted model, not a curated record.
UUGGCAUAGGUUACAUCGUGUGUCUACCCUCGCUAUAUAUGAGAGGCCUAGGAUACAAGUGUCCUGGCCACGACUCCAUAUCUUAUCUAAAUACAAUGCAGUUAUAAAUCGAACUGUAACCUACCUUGUACACUAUAUUCGACACAACUCUAACAGAGAGAACGAAAAAGGAUAUGUGAAAAGGGGAGCCACCGCCGCUUCCUCCACAGGUCCCCGUCUCUGGCAUUAGUGCAACCACGCCGCUGCCUGCUAGCAGGCUGCAUGCCGCCGCAGUCGCAAUUCCUUCCCAUGUCUGCCCUUCAUCCACCUCGGAGUGGCUACAGGGUAGCAGGCGCAAACCCUAGGCCUGGUUCUUGAUCUGCCUACUUGGUGGAUGUGGCUGCGUUUCGGUGCCGAUUCCGCAACCAACGCUGCUCACUUCCAGCCUUCCUCCUCAUGCCCGCAUCAAUCUUCGCUCUCGCUUGACAACAUGGAGGUGAACACCGCUGCAUCCAUGGUGACACCUUCUGUGACCAAGGUUCUCUCUCCUAUCACCUCUUUUUCCUCAGGUCCAGCACAUGAUUGGAAGAUGAGGGCAAGCCUGCCAAAACCUGAAAUUUCAUCAGGGAUUGUGAUGCCGGCCAAGCAAAGGAAGAUCUGCAACAAAACUGUAUGUGGACUGCUCCAUUACUAUUUCUGCUAGAAAUUCUGAUGUAUAUCUAUAAUAUUUGUUAGGUGCCGACUUGAUCGGACCAGUUGCCUAAGUAGUUGAGUUGUGAGAGGCCAGAAUUAUUUGUUGCUUGCCCAUGCCUUUGGGUGAGCCACAUACAAGCUAGCUACUAGAUCAAUUGAUUGAUUCUUUUGGUAAAACACAAUACACGCCAAGUAAAGGAAACUGUGUACCAAAUUCGUACAAACUGCUCCCUUAUAAUUUUUUCUCUGAAUUUUAAGGUAUGCACCCACUCCGUGUUAGUUGUGGGAUGCUUGUCGUAUGUCAGAUCGUUGCCUAAGUAGACUUUAGUUGUUGAAACAUGCACGCACAUCUGACCGGUUUGCUGAUUAGUACUAGGCAAUUGAUGUGAGGUCAGGUGUAGUUUAUCAUUUGUAAGGCAAAUAAAUAGAUUCCUCUAACAGAGAAAAAAGCUACUGAACAAAACUGAUCUUCUCACAACAUGCUAAUCUCAUAUUGACCGAUUUACUGUUAAAAGAGAUCGAAAAGCAAGUAUUGGGGACCUCCUAUUGUCCUGUGAUGCCCGUCGGCUUGUCGACAAACAUAAGAAAGAAGCAAAGAUCUAUAGUAAUGGUAGCAUAAAAAAUUGAGUCCCUGGUUCAAUGGCAAUGUGUUGUGCUUGAGUUCUACUUUGAUAGUCCGAGAUACAAUGUCUACUAUACAUGUUGCAUGUUAUUACCUCCUCCAAUUAAGAUGCCAUUUGAAUAACUUAAAUAUUACAUGUUCAGAUGUGCAGGUUAACUAAUAUAAGGUUUAAUUAGGAACUAAGACUAUGCUGUAAAACAUGUUCUAAUUCGCUCACAUGCAAACCCUCCUAAUUUCAUCCCUCAAACCUCAGGUAACAUAUUUCUACAGCAUAGGUGUCUGUUUUCGUUGUUUUCUAUGUUUUUGGAGUUGUAAUAAAUUUAUUUUGUGCUGCAGAUAAUACAUAGUAGUAUAUUAAGUUUGAAUUUGUGAUCUUGUUCUCUCGCCUGCUAUAUAGAGUUUUGCUUGACCUGCAUGAAUCAUUUGAAGAGAGUGAUAAAAGGAGAUGGAGAGAGAUGCAUGUUGUGAAUGAGCAAGCCCAUUCGAUUCAAAACAUGAUCCAUGUGCUGAGAAAUUUCGAUGUUAAUUCAAUUGUAUAUUUCUCACUUCUCGGUUGCUACGUUCAUAUUUGAUAUACAAGCAGCUUUGUACAUGAAGAAUCCAUGUGCGUUGAAAGGUUUACUUAGGUGGUUUUGACACCGUUCGCACAGAUGCAAGGUUAAUUCGUUCAUCAGUACUUCCCAUUUGAUCAUUGAACUGUGCAAAAUUUCAUACUCCGUUUUAGCGCGUCCCUGGCGUGCUUCUCCCCGCAUCUUAUUCCUAACGCUACUAACACUGCUUCCAGCAAGCUUCGUCACCAUCGGAACGAGAUUUGUUAAUUGGCAGGAAUGCGACAUCUAAAUAUGUAUUCUUGCCAUGGCAGCAAAAACUGACAAUCUCAUUCAUUGGCAAAGCUUAUGCCUGAGAGGGAGCUAGCAAACAAGCAUGCUUUAUAUUCAGGCCGUGCAAGCUGGAAGGAUCACUGCAAAUUGAUCCUAUCAAAGUGAGUGGCUUUGAAGGAAGGUGCGGUCUCCAUCCUGAAGAAAUGGCUGAUUGAUUCAGCUAUACGAAGCAACCCUGUCCUGCGAUUGAUAACUGGAAUCAUUUAUGCAGAAGCAAGACUACACACGGCGCUCUCAAGCACACACACACGGGAUCAGAGGAACUCUGGACCUGAUAGUUUUCUGUUUUCCAUAUGCCUUUAGAUGGUUCAACCUUUCAUUAAUGAAUUGGAUGCAAAAUCAUACUCAAGAGUGCCUUCUAAACAUGGUGUAUAUAUUUCACUUUGUUAGUGUCCCACCCAAUAGCUCCC